RNAcentral lists this ribosomal RNA (781 nucleotides) under Bacillus spizizenii. RNAcentral's name for it is "bacterial SSU rRNA". It matches the Rfam family "Bacterial small subunit ribosomal RNA", at positions 62 to 825 of the family's 1533-position model. The record is from RNAcentral. Lineage: Bacteria; Bacillati; Bacillota; Bacilli; Caryophanales; Bacillaceae.
UCGUGCGGACAGAUGGGAGCUUGCUCCCUGAUGUUAGCGGCGGACGGGUGAGUAACACGUGGGUAACCUGCCUGUAAGACUGGGAUAACUCCGGGAAACCGGGGCUAAUACCGGAUGGUUGUUUGAACCGCAUGGUUCAAACAUAAAAGGUGGCUUCGGCUACCACUUACAGAUGGACCCGCGGCGCAUUAGCUAGUUGGUGAGGUAACGGCUCACCAAGGCAACGAUGCGUAGCCGACCUGAGAGGGUGAUCGGCCACACUGGGACUGAGACACGGCCCAGACUCCUACGGGAGGCAGCAGUAGGGAAUCUUCCGCAAUGGACGAAAGUCUGACGGAGCAACGCCGCGUGAGUGAUGAAGGUUUUCGGAUCGUAAAGCUCUGUUGUUAGGGAAGAACAAGUACCGUUCGAAUAGGGCGGUACCUUGACGGUACCUAACCAGAAAGCCACGGCUAACUACGUGCCAGCAGCCGCGGUAAUACGUAGGUGGCAAGCGUUGUCCGGAAUUAUUGGGCGUAAAGGGCUCGCAGGCGGUUUCUUAAGUCUGAUGUGAAAGCCCCCGGCUCAACCGGGGAGGGUCAUUGGAAACUGGGGAACUUGAGUGCAGAAGAGGAGAGUGGAAUUCCACGUGUAGCGGUGAAAUGCGUAGAGAUGUGGAGGAACACCAGUGGCGAAGGCGACUCUCUGGUCUGUAACUGACGCUGAGGAGCGAAAGCGUGGGGAGCGAACAGGAUUAGAUACCCUGGUAGUCCACGCCGUAAACGAUGAGUGCUAAGUGUUA